CCAGCUCCAAUAGCGUAUAUUUAAGUUGCUGCAGUUAAAAAGCUCGUAGUUGGAUUUCGGGUGGGGCCUGCCGGUCCGCCGUUUCGGUGUGCACUGGCAGGGCCCACCUUGCUGUCGGGGACGGGCUCCUGGGCUUCACUGUCUGGGACUCGGAGUCGACGUUGUUACUUUGAGUAAAUUAGAGUGUUCAAAGCAGGCAUACGCUCUGAAUACAUUAGCAUGGAAUAACAUGAUAGGACUCUGGCCUAUCCUGUUGGUCUGUAGGACCGGAGUAAUGAUUAAGAGGGACAGUCGGGGGCAUUCGUAUUUCAUUGUCAGAGGUGAAAUUCUUGGAUUUAUGAAAGACGAACUACUGCGAAAGCAUUUGCCAAGGAUGUUUUCA
This 382-nucleotide ribosomal RNA is filed under the name uncultured Micractinium. RNAcentral describes it as "SSU rRNA". It matches the Rfam family "Eukaryotic small subunit ribosomal RNA", at positions 585 to 972 of the family's 1831-position model. Lineage: Eukaryota; Viridiplantae; Chlorophyta; Trebouxiophyceae. The record is from RNAcentral.